Molecule: unclassified non-coding RNA, 1719 nt
Filed under: Hevea brasiliensis (rubber tree)
Lineage: Eukaryota; Viridiplantae; Streptophyta; Magnoliopsida; Malpighiales; Euphorbiaceae
Source: RNAcentral
UCACAUGAUCAAUACAUGGGGCUACUCAACAAUAAACUUUUUUGCUCCAAUGAGUCGAUAUGCAAGUUGUGGUGGCGGACCUGUCCGUGCUUCCUGGGAGUUAAAAGAAAUGGUCAAGGCCUUGCAUGGUGCUGGAAUUGAGGUCAUCUUAGAUGUUGUUUAUAAUCACACAAAUGAAGCUGAUGAUGAAAACCCAUAUACAACCUCAUUCCGAGGAAUAGACAACAAGGUUUAUUACAUGGUAGAUUUGAACAACAAUGCUCAGCUGCUGAAUUUCUCUGGAUGUGGUAAUACUUUUAACUGCAACCAUCCUACCGUCAUGGAACUUAUACUUGAAAGCUUAAGACACUGGGUCACCGAGUAUCAUGUCGAUGGAUUUCGCUUUGAUCUUGCUAGUGUUCUUUGCAGAGGGACAGAUGGUACUCCCAUUAAUGCUCCCCCCUUGGUUAAGGCCAUUUCCAGAGAUAGUGUAUUGUCGAGGUGCAAAAUUAUUGCUGAGCCAUGGGAUUGUGGAGGCCUAUAUCUUGUUGGGAAGUUUCCGAACUGGGACCGGUGGGCUGAGUGGAACGGGAAGUACCGUGAUGACAUCAGAAGAUUUAUAAAGGGCGAUGCUGGCAUGAAAGGAAAUUUUGCAACCCGUAUCGCAGGUUCAGCAGAUCUGUACAGAGUGAACAAGCGAAAACCUUACCACAGUGUCAACUUCGUGAUUGCCCAUGAUGGCUUUACUUUGUAUGACCUUGUUUCAUACAAUAAUAAGCACAAUGAUGCGAAUGGUGAAGGUGGCAAUGAUGGAUGCAAUGACAAUUUCAGUUGGAAUUGUGGUAUUGAAGGUGAAACUUCAGAUGCAAAUGUUAACGAACUGCGUUCACGGCAAAUGAAAAAUUUUCAUUUGGCACUGAUGGUUUCUCAGGGAACACCAAUGAUGCUUAUGGGUGAUGAGUACGGGCAUACCCGCUAUGGAAAUAAUAACAGUUAUGGACAUGAUACCGCCAUCAACAAUUUCCAGUGGGGACAAUUGGAAGCAAGGAGGAAUGAUCACUUCAGGUUCUUUUCCAAGAUGAUAAAGUUUCGACUGUCCCAUAAUGUUCUAAGAAAGGAAAAUUUCAUUGAGAAGAACGACAUUACCUGGCUCGAGGACAACUGGUACAAUGAAGAGAGUAGAUUCCUUGCAUUUAUGCUCCAUGAUGGGAAUGGAGGAGAUAUUUACUUGGCAUUUAAUGCACACCACUUCUCCAUCAAAACAGCAAUACCUUCACCACCACGAAAUAGAAGUUGGUACCGAGUGGUGGACACUAAUCUGAAAUCACCAGAUGAUUUUGUUACUGAGGGAGUGUCUGGUAUCCGUGAAACUUAUGAUAUUGCGCCGUACUCUGCUAUCCUUCUUGAAGCAAAGUAAUAAUUACCGGAGUUAUGCUGCUUUGGAUGUUGUUCAUGUCUAUUACACUAUUACGUCCUUCUGGAUUGGAUAGUUAAAAUCGAAAUUCAGGUGCUAAUAUAAGCAUAUAGUUAGCAUAUAAAUGUAGUAUUUUGAGCAGAAACUUUGUGAUGACCAACCAGUUUGUUCAGGCUGCCAUUGACAGGUGCCAGGUUGUUUGAGACAGGUAAACUUGGUGCCUCAACAUCCUUUUUUUUCUAAGGAAAAAAAUAAUAUGCCAAUAGGAUAGUUUUAUUGGCAUUUUUUAUUAAUAAAGUAGAGAUCAAAACUGUAGCUUACAUCAU